UUGGGCUGGGAAAGCAGAUUUUUAUUUUAACGAUAUUUACCUGCCCCUCAUCCUCUCCCACGUUUGCUUUUCCAGGGCAGCCUCUUCUUCAUGGCUUCAGAAGCCGGGCAAAUUAAAGUAACGCGCUGGCUCCCCCGCGAGUUGCGGGGGCUGAGCUGCCGGCCUGACCCUGGCCGGACCCCCGCCGGCCCCCUUCGGUGUUCUGGGUUUCUCUUUUCUUGCCCUCGGAUUACAUGCCGUUAUUAGACAAUAUGUUUACAAUUUUAUUUAAAGAAAUGAGACCCCAGCUUCCUGAAAACCGAGACCAAGCCCGUUUGGUACCACCACAACGCGGAGCUCUCCAGCGCCAGGAGGAGGCCUGAGGAGGCCCUGAGGUUCGCAGCCCCAGGCCCUGAGCCCACCUGGGACACCUCUCCCUGAGGAUCCAGGGCGAGUGACCAAACAGCAAGUACAAUUCUGAGAGCUGUGGAACUUCGUCCUUUCAUUUAAAGAUUCUCCUGUCUUUUCUUGAUGGAAUCGUGUGGCCCCAUCUCUCCUGUGCCAAGGGGACAGAGAGUCUUCAAACAUGCUUGUUAAGGGCCACUCACUCUCUUUCCAAGGAAGGCUUCUGUGGUCUGUCUACGCCACCCCCCUCUGCUCCCACCACCACACACAAGGCCCAGGGAUACUGGAGGAUGAUCCUACAGUCUAGUCAGUCACCUCGUGAGCGCAAUCCAGUUACAGCACACCACUGCGUACUGAAAGGGCAGCAAGACAACCAGCACCAUCAAGAACCUACAAUGAGAUUUAAAUCUUGCAAUCACCGCUGGGAAGUGAGCUGUAUCUUCUUGAGAAAUCAGACCACAGAGUCUGGCCUGCAGCUGGCAGGCUGGGUCAUCUUUAAUCGCUUAACCCUUCAUAUCAAAGGAUGGGUUGUAGCAGCAGAUUCUUCGUCAUGAAUUUGCCAUGGCAGAUUUUCUCAAAGAAAAGCUGGGAGUUAAAAUGAAGCAGAGUACGUACAGCAAAAGCCUUGCCUUGAACUGGAAGAUGCCAGCCCCACAGGAGAGAUGCAUAACUGAAGGGUUGGAGGCUGCGGACUGGACCCAUGCCACAGAGAAUUACUCCUUGGGAAGGUCUGUUAACCAUAUAAAACAUUAGAAAGAAACUUAGGGACUUAAUAACCAGUUUGGGGCUAGAGGCAGUUUUUAAAAAAAUGUUUUUUGAAACUGGAUAAAAUUAUUAAAAUUAUAAUUUCAAACA
Molecule: long non-coding RNA, 1239 nt
Organism: Suricata suricatta (meerkat)
Lineage: Eukaryota; Metazoa; Chordata; Mammalia; Carnivora; Herpestidae
Exons: 5
Source: RefSeq, a predicted model, not a curated record